UGAAGCUUGUCCUGCAGUGAGGCAAGUCACAUGCUAGGCAUGAUGAGUUCAUAAUCAUGUAGCUCACUGGGAGCUACAAGUGGGCCCACCCUCCUGGAGUGAAAGGUGGGAGUGGGCGGUGGUGGGAGAGGUGGCCAGAGCAACAUCACAAAGACCUGUGUGCUAAACCAAGGAGUGAGGACCUUCUGCAAGCUAGGGGCAGCCACUGGAGGACUCGAGGCAGGACAGAGGCCUGGAGAGAGCUGCAGAGCCCUGUGGAGCUGCGGGAUGGGAACUGGGAGGCAUAAGAACAAUGAGGAGGGCAUCGCAGGACCAAGGUUGGUCAUAGCUUUUCUUCCAAGGAGCAAGCGUCUUUUAAAGCUCAUAAUGCAGAACAAAUCUUGAGUACACUGAAUCCAGAGCUCACAGUAGAUCUGACUCCCUCCACACAAAAAGCAACCCCAAAUAUCACUUGAAUCCCAGUUUUCAGAUCUGUUAAAUGAAGUUAAGAAUGUAUCUGUGGAGUUUGGGGAAAGGACCAUGAUAACCUGGGGCAAGGAACAGAGAUCUCAGAAGGCUUUCCAAGAGAACAGAAGUUCUGUGUUCCCUGGAGAAAGAUGGGAAACACUAUUGGAAAACUGAGAAUAGUGAAAGUGAAUGUAAUGUAUUAAUACAAAUUCUUAAAUGGGUAUGAAUUCUCCUUUCAAAUACUCCAUUACAAUCCAAGACUUCAUAAUUUCUACCCCCAAAAUUGGAUGCCUCCAAUGAGAACCAGUGGUUCUAAAACCACAGGGGUGCUCAAACUUGGCUGCAUGUUGAGAUCACCUGGGC
Molecule: non-coding RNA, 810 nt
Organism: Odocoileus virginianus texanus
Lineage: Eukaryota; Metazoa; Chordata; Mammalia; Artiodactyla; Cervidae
Source: RefSeq, a predicted model, not a curated record